This 482-nucleotide ribosomal RNA is filed under the name uncultured bacterium. RNAcentral describes it as "partial 16S ribosomal RNA". It matches the Rfam family "Bacterial small subunit ribosomal RNA", at positions 30 to 507 of the family's 1533-position model. The record is from RNAcentral.
AUUGAACGCUGGCGGCAUGCCUUACACAUGCAAGUCGAACGGUAACAGGUCUUCGGAUGCUGACGAGUGGCGAACGGGUGCGUAAUACAUCGGAACGUGCCCGAUCGUGGGGGAUAACGGAGCGAAAGCUUUGCUAAUACCGCAUACGAUCUACGGAUGAAAGCAGGGGACCGCAAGGCCUUGCGCGGACGGAGCGGCCGAUGGCAGAUUAGGUAGUUGGUGGGAUAAAAGCUUACCAAGCCGACGAUCUGUAGCUGGUCUGAGAGGACGACCAGCCACACUGGAACUGAGACACGGCCCAGACUCCUACGGGAGGCAGCAGUGGGGAAUUUUGGACAAUGGGCGAAAGCCUGAUCCAGCCAUGCCGCGUGCAGGAUGAAGGCCUUCGGGUUGUAAACUGCUUUUGUACGGAACGAAAAGACUCUUUCUAAUAAAGAGGGUCCAUGACGGUACCGUAAGAAUAAGCACCGGCUAACUACGUG